Molecule: ribosomal RNA, 484 nt
Filed under: Nectria aurantiaca
Lineage: Eukaryota; Fungi; Ascomycota; Sordariomycetes; Hypocreales; Nectriaceae
Description: eukaryotic LSU rRNA
Rfam family: Eukaryotic large subunit ribosomal RNA
Source: RNAcentral
UGAAAUCUGGCCCUCGUGGUCCGAAUUGUAAUUUGUAGAGGAUGCUUUUGGUGAGGUGCCUUCCGAGUUCCCUGGAACGGGACGCCAUAGAGGGUGAGAGCCCCGUCUGGUUGGACACCGAGCCUCUGUAAAGCUCCUUCGACGAGUCGAGUAGUUUGGGAAUGCUGCUCUAAAUGGGAGGUAUAUGUCUUCUAAAGCUAAAUAUUGGCCAGAGACCGAUAGCGCACAAGUAGAGUGAUCGAAAGAUGAAAAGCACUUUGAAAAGAGGGUUAAAUAGUACGUGAAAUUGUUGAAAGGGAAGCGCUUGUGACCAGACUUGGGCUUGGUUAAUCAUCCAGGGUUCUCCCUGGUGCACUUGGCCAGCCCAGGCCAGCAUCAGUUCGUCGCGGGGGAUAAAGGCGUUGGGAAUGUGGCUCCCUCGGGAGUGUUAUAGCCCUUCGUGUAAUACCCUGCCUCGGACUGAGGUUCGCGCAUCUGCAAGGAU